UUAUGUUAAGGGCAAACUAAAGGAAACUUUAGGACGCAAAGCUAUAGGGGCUUCAUCGAAGUUGCGAUAUGCUAGCCAGUUACCGAA
This 87-nucleotide non-coding RNA is filed under the name Anaerobacillus alkalilacustris. Its description in RNAcentral is "c-di-GMP sequence". It matches the Rfam family "c-di-GMP-I riboswitch aptamer". Rfam says of the family: GEMM was predicted in a large-scale screen for bacterial structured RNA regulatory elements. Genes associated with GEMM are involved in a diverse array of functions, including chemotaxis regulation, signal transduction, secretion and chitin. The record is from RNAcentral. Lineage: Bacteria; Bacillati; Bacillota; Bacilli; Caryophanales; Bacillaceae.